UACGUAGGGUGCGAGCGUUAAUCGGAAUUACUGGGCGUAAAGCGUGCGCAGGCGGUUCGCUGUGUCCGAUGUGAAAGCCCCGGGCUCAACCUGGGAAUGGCCAUGGAAACUGGCGAACUGGAGUGUGGCAGAGGGGGGUGGAAUUCCGCGUGUAGCAGUGAAAUGCGUAGAGAUGCGGAGGAACACCGAUGGCGAAGGCAGCCCCCUGGGCUAGCACUGACGCUCAGGCACGAAAGCGUGGGGAGCAAACAGG
This 253-nucleotide ribosomal RNA is filed under the name uncultured bacterium. Its description in RNAcentral is "partial 16S ribosomal RNA". It matches the Rfam family "Bacterial small subunit ribosomal RNA", at positions 524 to 776 of the family's 1533-position model. The record is from RNAcentral.